UAUGAGAGUUUGAUCCUGGCUCAGGACGAACGCUGGCGGCGUGCCUAAUACAUGCAAGUCGUACGCUUCUUUUUCCACCGGAGCUUGCUCCACCGGAAAAAGAAGAGUGGCGAACGGGUGAGUAACACGUGGGUAACCUACCCAUCAGAAGGGGAUAACACUUGGAAACAGGUGCUAAUACCGUAUAACAAUCGAAACCGCAUGGUUUUGAUUUGAAAGGCGCUUUCGGGUGUCGCUGAUGGAUGGACCCGCGGUGCAUUAGCUAGUUGGUGAGGUAACGGCUCACCAAGGCUACGAUGCAUAGCCGACCUGAGAGGGUGAUCGGCCACAUUGGGACUGAGACACGGCCCAAACUCCUACGGGAGGCAGCAGUAGGGAAUCUUCGGCAAUGGACGAAAGUCUGACCGAGCAACGCCGCGUGAGUGAAGAAGGUUUUCGGAUCGUAAAACUCUGUUGUUAGAGAAGAACAAGGAUGAGAGUAACUGUUCAUCCCUUGACGGUAUCUAACCAGAAAGCCACGGCUAACUACGUGCCAGCAGCCGCGGUAAUACGUAGGUGGCAAGCGUUGUCCGGAUUUAUUGGGCGUAAAGCGAGCGCAGGCGGUUUCUUAAGUCUGAUGUGAAAGCCCCGGCUCAACCGGGGAGGGUCAUUGGAAACUGGGAGACUUGAGUGCAGAAGAGGAGAGUGGAAUUCCAUGUGUAGCGGUGAAAUGCGUAGAUAUAUGGAGGAACACCAGUGGCGAAGGCGGCUCUCUGGUCUGUAACUGACGCUGAGGCUCGAAAGCGUGGGGAGCAAACAGGAUUAGAUACCCUGGUAGUCCACGCCGUAAACGAUGAGUGCUAAGUGUUGGAGGGUUUCCGCCCUUCAGUGCUGCAGCUAACGCAUUAAGCACUCCGCCUGGGGAGUACGACCGCAAGGUUGAAACUCAAAGGAAUUGACGGGGGCCCGCACAAGCGGUGGAGCAUGUGGUUUAAUUCGAAGCAACGCGAAGAACCUUACCAGGUCUUGACAUCCUUUGACCACUCUAGAGAUAGAGCUUCCCCUUCGGGGGCAAAGUGACAGGUGGUGCAUGGUUGUCGUCAGCUCGUGUCGUGAGAUGUUGGGUUAAGUCCCGCAACGAGCGCAACCCUUAUUGUUAGUUGCCAUCAUUCAGUUGGGCACUCUAGCAAGACUGCCGGUGACAAACCGGAGGAAGGUGGGGAUGACGUCAAAUCAUCAUGCCCCUUAUGACCUGGGCUACACACGUGCUACAAUGGGAAGUACAACGAGUCGCGAAGUCGCGAGGCUAAGCUAAUCUCUUAAAGCUUCUCUCAGUUCGGAUUGUAGGCUGCAACUCGCCUACAUGAAGCCGGAAUCGCUAGUAAUCGCGGAUCAGCACGCCGCGGUGAAUACGUUCCCGGGCCUUGUACACACCGCCCGUCACACCACGAGAGUUUGUAACACCCGAAGUCGGUGAGGUAACCUUUUGGAGCCAGCCGCCUAAGGUGGGAUAGAUGAUUGGGGUGAAGUCGUAACAAGGUAGCCGUAUCGGAAGGUGCGGCUGGAUCACCUCCUUUCUAAGGAA
Molecule: ribosomal RNA, 1564 nt
Filed under: Enterococcus durans
Lineage: Bacteria; Bacillati; Bacillota; Bacilli; Lactobacillales; Enterococcaceae
Description: bacterial SSU rRNA
Rfam family: Bacterial small subunit ribosomal RNA
Source: RNAcentral